This 254-nucleotide ribosomal RNA is filed under the name uncultured bacterium. RNAcentral describes it as "partial 16S ribosomal RNA". It matches the Rfam family "Bacterial small subunit ribosomal RNA", at positions 524 to 776 of the family's 1533-position model. The record is from RNAcentral.
UACGUAGGGGGCAAGCGUUGUCCGGAUUUAUUGGGCGUAAAGAGCUCGUAGGCGGUUCCGUAAGUCGUGAAGUCAAAUCUCUGGGCUCAACCCAGAAUCGCUUCCGAUACUGCGGUGACUGGAGUCCGGUAGGGGAGUGUGGAAUUCCUGGUGUAGCGGUGAAAUGCGCAGAUAUCAGGAGGAACACCAAUGGCGAAGGCAGCUCGCUGGGACGUGACUGACGCUGAGACGCGAAAGCGUGGGGAGCAAACAGG